Molecule: unclassified non-coding RNA, 331 nt
Filed under: soil metagenome
Description: partial contains 5.8S ribosomal RNA, internal transcribed spacer 2, and large subunit ribosomal RNA
Rfam family: 5.8S ribosomal RNA (bases 1-120)
Source: RNAcentral
GAUGAAGAACGUAGCGAAAUGCGAUAAGUAGUGUGAAUUGCAGAAUUCAGUGAAUCAUCGAAUCUUUGAACGCACAUUGCGCCCUUCGGUAUUCCGUUGGGCAUGCCUGUUCGAGCGUCAUUUAAACCUUCAAGCUCUGCUUGGUGUUGGGUGUUUGUUCCGCCCGCGCGCGGACUCGCCUCAAAUUCAUUGGCAGCCGGUAUGUUGGCUUCGUGCACAGCACAUUGUGUCGCGACUCCAGCCUACCUCCUUCCAUCAAGCCCCCCUAUUACUUUGGCCUCGGAUCAGGUAGGGAUACCCGCUGAACUUAAGCAUAUCAAUAAGCGGAGGA